Molecule: ribosomal RNA, 230 nt
Filed under: uncultured bacterium
Lineage: Bacteria
Description: partial 16S ribosomal RNA
Rfam family: Bacterial small subunit ribosomal RNA
Source: RNAcentral
AAAGCGUGCGCAGGCGGUUUUGUAAGACUGUCGUGAAAUCCCCGGGCUCAACCUGGGAAUGGCGAUGGUGACUGCAAGGCUAGAGUUUGGCAGAGGGGGGUAGAAUUCCACGUGUAGCAGUGAAAUGCGUAGAUAUGUGGAGGAACACCGAUGGCGAAGGCAGCCCCCUGGGUCAAAACUGACGCUCAUGCACGAAAGCGUGGGGAGCAAACAAGAUUAGAUACCCUUGU